CACGUAGGGGGCGAGCGUUGUCCGGAAUUACUGGGCGUAAAGGGCGCGCAGGCUGUUAUGCGAGUCUGCUGUGAAAUGUACCGGCUCAACCGGUGCCUUGCGGCGGAUACUGCAUAGCUGGAGUACUGGAGAGGGAAGUGGAAUUCCCGGUGUAGGGGUGAAAUGCGUAGAUAUCGGGAGGAACACCGGUGGCGAAGGCGGCUUUCUGGCCAGUUACUGACGCUCAUGCGCGAAAGCUGGGGUAGCGAACCGGAUUAGAUACCCCCGUAGU
This 271-nucleotide ribosomal RNA is filed under the name uncultured prokaryote. RNAcentral's name for it is "partial 16S ribosomal RNA". It matches the Rfam family "Bacterial small subunit ribosomal RNA", at positions 524 to 794 of the family's 1533-position model. The record is from RNAcentral.